Molecule: ribosomal RNA, 310 nt
Filed under: uncultured fungus
Lineage: Eukaryota; Fungi
Description: eukaryotic LSU rRNA
Source: RNAcentral
AAAGGGAAACGGUUGAAGCCAGUCAUGCCGGCGGAAAAUCAACUUAUAGGCUACUAUGAGUGCACUUUUUCGCAAGGCAGGUUAGCAUCGGUUUCAGUUGCGUUAUAAUAAUCAUGGGAAGGUAGCUUUUUCGGAAGUGUUAUAGCCUGAGGUAGAUGACGUGACAGAGACCGAGGAUUGCAGCGAAUGCCUUUUAGGCAACGUGUCUGGUCUCUGCCGAUUAACAAUUUGUCGUCAGCUUGCUGACGUACUCGUUGGUGAUUCUCAAAAGAUUCAGAACACGAUAAAUUUGCUAAGGAUGUUGACGUAA